This 429-nucleotide ribosomal RNA is filed under the name Pseudomonadota bacterium. RNAcentral's name for it is "Proteobacteria bacterium partial 16S ribosomal RNA". It matches the Rfam family "Bacterial small subunit ribosomal RNA", at positions 355 to 776 of the family's 1533-position model. Lineage: Bacteria; Pseudomonadati; Pseudomonadota. The record is from RNAcentral.
UGGGGAAUAUUGGACAAUGGGCGAAAGCCUGAUCCAGCCAUGCCGCGUGUGUGAAGAAGGUCUUCGGAUGGUAAAGCAUUUUAAGUUGGGAGGAAGGGCAGUAAGCGAAUACCUUGCUGUUUUGACGUUACCGACAGAAUAAGCACCGGCUAACUCUGUGCCAGCAGCCGCGGUAAUACAGAGGGUGCAAGCGUUAAUCGGAAUUACUGGGCGUAAAGCGCGCGUAGGUGGUUCGUUAAGUUGAAUGUGAAAGCCCCUGGCUCAACCUGGGAACUGCAUCCAAAACUGGCGAGCUAGAGUAGGGCAGGGGGUGGUGGAAUUUCCUGUGUAGCGGUGAAAUGCGUAGAUAUAGGAAGGAACACCAGUGGCGAAGGCGACCACCUGGGCUCAUACUGACACUGAGGUGCGAAAGCGUGGGGAGCAAACAGG